RNAcentral lists this ribosomal RNA (915 nucleotides) under Staphylococcus aureus. RNAcentral's name for it is "bacterial SSU rRNA". It matches the Rfam family "Bacterial small subunit ribosomal RNA", at positions 102 to 1003 of the family's 1533-position model. The record is from RNAcentral. Lineage: Bacteria; Bacillati; Bacillota; Bacilli; Caryophanales; Staphylococcaceae.
ACGGGUGAGUAACACGUGGAUAACCUACCUAUAAGACUGGGAUAACUUCGGGAAACCGGAGCUAAUACCGGAUAAUAUUUUGAACCGCAUGGUUCAAAAGUGAAAGACGGUCUUGCUGUCACUUAUAGAUGGAUCCGCGCUGCAUUAGCUAGUUGGUAAGGUAACGGCUUACCAAGGCAACGAUGCAUAGCCGACCUGAGAGGGUGAUCGGCCACACUGGAACUGAGACACGGUCCAGACUCCUACGGGAGGCAGCAGUAGGGAAUCUUCCGCAAUGGGCGAAAGCCUGACGGAGCAACGCCGCGUGAGUGAUGAAGGUCUUCGGAUCGUAAAACUCUGUUAUUAGGGAAGAACAUAUGUGUAAGUAACUGUGCACAUCUUGACGGUACCUAAUCAGAAAGCCACGGCUAACUACGUGCCAGCAGCCGCGGUAAUACGUAGGUGGCAAGCGUUAUCCGGAAUUAUUGGGCGUAAAGCGCGCGUAGGCGGUUUUUUAAGUCUGAUGUGAAAGCCCACGGCUCAACCGUGGAGGGUCAUUGGAAACUGGAAAACUUGAGUGCAGAAGAGGAAAGUGGAAUUCCAUGUGUAGCGGUGAAAUGCGCAGAGAUAUGGAGGAACACCAGUGGCGAAGGCGACUUUCUGGUCUGUAACUGACGCUGAUGUGCGAAAGCGUGGGGAUCAAACAGGAUUAGAUACCCUGGUAGUCCACGCCGUAAACGAUGAGUGCUAAGUGUUAGGGGGUUUCCGCCCCUUAGUGCUGCAGCUAACGCAUUAAGCACUCCGCCUGGGGAGUACGACCGCAAGGUUGAAACUCAAAGGAAUUGACGGGGACCCGCACAAGCGGUGGAGCAUGUGGUUUAAUUCGAAGCAACGCGAAGAACCUUACCAAAUCUUGACAUCCUUUGACAACUCUAG